RNAcentral lists this ribosomal RNA (497 nucleotides) under uncultured bacterium. RNAcentral's name for it is "partial 16S ribosomal RNA". It matches the Rfam family "Bacterial small subunit ribosomal RNA", at positions 28 to 507 of the family's 1533-position model. The record is from RNAcentral.
GACGAACGCUGGCGGCGUGCCUAAUACAUGCAAGUUGAGCGCAGAAGGUUGGUACUUGUACCUACUGUAUUAGCAGCGAACGGGUGAGUAACGCGUGGGGAAUCUGCCUUUGAGCGGGGGACAACAUUUGGAAACGAAUGCUAAUACCGCAUAAAAACUUUAAACACAAGUUUCAAGUUUGAAAGAUGCAAUUGCAUCACUCAAAGAUGAUCCCGCGUUUUAUUAGCUAGUUGGUUAGGUAAAGGCCCACCAAGGCGAUGAUACAUAGCCGAACUGAGAGGGGGAUCCGCCAACUUGGGACUGAGACACGGGCCCAACUCCUUCGGGAGGCAACAAUAGGGAAUCUUCGGCAAUGGACGGAAGGCUGGACGGGGAAAGCCCGCUGGGUGGAGGAGGUUUUCGGGACCUAAAACUCUGUUGAUAAGGGAGGAAGUUGUUGGGAAUGAAAAGCUCACAAAGUGACGGUAACUACUCAGAAAGCGACGGCUAACUACGUG